RNAcentral lists this ribosomal RNA (1519 nucleotides) under Pectobacterium versatile. Its description in RNAcentral is "bacterial SSU rRNA". It matches the Rfam family "Bacterial small subunit ribosomal RNA". Lineage: Bacteria; Pseudomonadati; Pseudomonadota; Gammaproteobacteria; Enterobacterales; Pectobacteriaceae. The record is from RNAcentral.
GUUUGAUCAUGGCUCAGAUUGAACGCUGGCGGCAGGCCUAACACAUGCAAGUCGAGCGGUAGCACAGAAGAGCUUGCUCUUUGGGUGACGAGCGGCGGACGGGUGAGUAAUGUCUGGGAAACUGCCUGAUGGAGGGGGAUAACUACUGGAAACGGUAGCUAAUACCGCAUAACCUCGCAAGAGCAAAGAGGGGGACCUUAGGGCCUCUCGCCAUCAGAUGUGCCCAGAUGGGAUUAGCUAGUAGGUGAGGUAAUGGCUCACCUAGGCGACGAUCCCUAGCUGGUCUGAGAGGAUGACCAGCCACACUGGAACUGAGACACGGUCCAGACUCCUACGGGAGGCAGCAGUGGGGAAUAUUGCACAAUGGGCGCAAGCCUGAUGCAGCCAUGCCGCGUGUGUGAAGAAGGCCUUCGGGUUGUAAAGCACUUUCAGCGAGGAGGAAGGCGGUAAGGUUAAUAACCUUAUCGAUUGACGUUACUCGCAGAAGAAGCACCGGCUAACUCCGUGCCAGCAGCCGCGGUAAUACGGAGGGUGCAAGCGUUAAUCGGAAUGACUGGGCGUAAAGCGCACGCAGGCGGUCUGUUAAGUUGGAUGUGAAAUCCCCGGGCUUAACCUGGGAACUGCAUUCAAAACUGACAGGCUAGAGUCUUGUAGAGGGGGGUAGAAUUCCAGGUGUAGCGGUGAAAUGCGUAGAGAUCUGGAGGAAUACCGGUGGCGAAGGCGGCCCCCUGGACAAAGACUGACGCUCAGGUGCGAAAGCGUGGGGAGCAAACAGGAUUAGAUACCCUGGUAGUCCACGCUGUAAACGAUGUCGAUUUGGAGGUUGUGCCCUUGAGGCGUGGCUUCCGGAGCUAACGCGUUAAAUCGACCGCCUGGGGAGUACGGCCGCAAGGUUAAAACUCAAAUGAAUUGACGGGGGCCCGCACAAGCGGUGGAGCAUGUGGUUUAAUUCGAUGCAACGCGAAGAACCUUACCUACUCUUGACAUCCAGAGAAUUAGCUAGAGAUAGCUGAGUGCCUUCGGGAACUCUGAGACAGGUGCUGCAUGGCUGUCGUCAGCUCGUGUUGUGAAAUGUUGGGUUAAGUCCCGCAACGAGCGCAACCCUUAUCCUUUGUUGCCAGCGAUUCGGUCGGGAACUCAAAGGAGACUGCCGGUGAUAAACCGGAGGAAGGUGGGGAUGACGUCAAGUCAUCAUGGCCCUUACGAGUAGGGCUACACACGUGCUACAAUGGCGUAUACAAAGAGAAGCGACCUCGCGAGAGCAAGCGGACCUCAUAAAGUACGUCGUAGUCCGGAUUGGAGUCUGCAACUCGACUCCAUGAAGUCGGAAUCGCUAGUAAUCGUAGAUCAGAAUGCUACGGUGAAUACGUUCCCGGGCCUUGUACACACCGCCCGUCACACCAUGGGAGUGGGUUGCAAAAGAAGUAGGUAGCUUAACCUUCGGGAGGGCGCUUACCACUUUGUGAUUCAUGACUGGGGUGAAGUCGUAACAAGGUAACCGUAGGGGAACCUGCGGUUG